UACAUUUUGUUAGGUUGGUGCAAAAGCAAUUGCGGUUUUUGCCAUGAAAAGUAAUGGCAAAAACCGAAUAUUACUUUUGCACCAACCUGAUGUAUC
Molecule: microRNA precursor, 96 nt
Filed under: Chlorocebus sabaeus (green monkey)
Lineage: Eukaryota; Metazoa; Chordata; Mammalia; Primates; Cercopithecidae
Description: miRNA (ENSCSAG00000020107.1)
Source: RNAcentral